Long non-coding RNA from Salmo trutta (river trout), 1709 nucleotides. Ensembl annotates it as predicted GPI-anchored protein 58. Lineage: Eukaryota; Metazoa; Chordata; Actinopteri; Salmoniformes; Salmonidae. The record is from Ensembl.
UGGGUACUGAAACACACAGCAAGCAGGCUGUGUAGCCCAGUAUCUACACCAUGCAGACAUCACACUGUUGGUAACCUGCUGCUGCCACAACAAGCCGUCGCCCGGUGUAUUUAAAACGAGGCAUGCGCAAAUAUGCAAUUGUGGAGACCAGUGAAAUGACUAUAUAACACGGUUGGUUCCCCAAACUGGCGUCCCUCUACUGAAUCUAGUUGAUGAUCCCUGCCUUCAGUCCUGCUGAUUUGAAUAGUAUCAAGCCCGUGAUCAGAGCAACAGACGGCUCUCUGGAGAUCUCAUUUUCAUCUUCUUCAGUCCUCUAUGUGAGACAAGCAGGAUGGGUUGUUCCACGAGUACCCAGACGACAGCGCAGGACACCACCAGACAGCCCAGCUCUAAACCCGAGGAAAGCAAUGGAACCAGCACUACAGUGAUCGUAGCAGCCACAGGAGAGGAGGCCCAGCCUGCUCCGGCUGCAGCCCAAGCCGAGCCUCCUGCAGACACCACAGACCCGUCCCCAGCCCCUGCAGAGGAGGCCCCGGCUCAGAGUGAGACCCAGCCUGCAGCCGAUGCUCCUGCAGCAGCCACUUCUCCCGAGCAGCCAGCCAGCUCUCCAGAGCCUCCUCCUGCAGCCCAGGACCCAGCUGAGGCCGCAGCAGAGGCCGAUGCAGCUGCAACCAGCCCCUAGUCAGGGAAAUGAAGCCGGUCUUCCCAUUAUUGUGGAUGAAGAAUCUGCAUGAAUGUCCUAAUUCGAAAGCGAAGGAGGAUGACACCACUUGCCUGUUGCCAAGCUGCAGACCAGCUGAUCCCUGUGACCAGGAUCAAUCGGUCAUCACUGUGCCUUUUUCCUCUGUAAAUACUCUUUUUCCUGUGCAUUUAGUUGUGUUAUUAGCAUUGUUUAUAAAACAUUCAUUAGAUAAUUGCUUCGAAGUAACUUAUAAAUGCUUAUUAACUUUUGCUUGAAUCUAAAAUCUACAUUUCUGGUGACUAGAGUUCGUAUUACAGCCUUGUAACGAUGUGGGAUCAAGUAUGUGAGAUCAAGUAUGUGGGAUCAAGUGUUAAGUGACCAACACUAAUUUGUCAGAAUAAUUCAUUCAGGAACAACUUGAAUCCAUUUACUCACACAUAUUUCAGAAAUGAAGCCAACAACUAUUAGACAUUUACAUGAUGUUGUUUUUACAGCUGGCUUGACCUGUACAACCAUAUUAUAACCAUGUUACAACCAUGUUAUAACCAUGUUAAACCAUGUUAUAACCAUGUUAAACCAUGUUAUAAGGGUAUAUAAUAUGACCAUGUUGGCCAUGUUAUAACCAUGUUAUAACCAUGUUAAACCAUGUUAUAAGGGUAUAUAAUAUGACCAUGUUGGCCAUGUUACAACCAUGUUAUAACCAUGUUAUAACCAUGUUAUAAGGGUAUAUAAUAUGACCAUGUUGGCCAUGUUAUAACGGUUUGAAUAAAACAGUUACUGAACUCAAGACAUUCACUGACGUUGCUUUUUUAAAAGACAAGUUGCUUGUUUCAGCAUCAUCCUUUGUAUGAGGAAACGUAUUUAUGUCAGUUAGACAGUAUCUCAUCCACGCUGUUAGAUUACAUCAUAGAGACGAUGGAACAGAGCCCAUGAAGAGAAAAAGGUAGCAGAAAAGGUAUAGUAAAUCUCUGUGUUUUCUUGGAGUUGAAAGUUACAUUUUGGUUUGUUUGACAGUUGACCAAAAAAA